AUGGAUGGGCAGAGCAGAAAGCACAGGAUUUUGAUGGUGUCUGACUUUUUCUUCCCAAACUUUGGCGGUGUGGAAAGCCACAUCUAUUAUCUAUCGCAGUGCCUCCUUAAGCUUCGCCAUAAGGUUGUUGUCAUGACACAUGCAUAUGGGAAACGUUCUGGAGUACGAUAUGUUACUGACGGCUUGAAGGUUUAUUAUGUGCCAUGGAGGCCAUUCCUGAUGCAGAAUACACUGCCUACAUUAUUCAUGACAUUUCCAAUUAUAAGGACCAUUCUUAUUCGUGAGAAGAUAUCAGUUGUGCAUGGGCAUCAGGCCUUUUCAACAAUGUGCCAUGAAGCAUUGAUGCAUGCUAGGACGAUGGGGUACAAAGUUGUCUUCACGGACCACUCGCUUUAUGGUUUUGCUGAUGUUGGAAGCAUUCACAUGAAUAAGGUGCUGCAGUUUACUCUUGCAGAUAUUGAUCAGGCCAUAUGUGUAUCUCACACAAGCAAAGAGAACACUGUCUUGAGGUCAGGGAUAUCUCCAGAGAAGGUUUUCAUGGUUCCUAAUGCAGUGGAUACUACAAUGUUUACUCCCUCCUCGAACCGCUUAAGCUGUGCCGACCUUCUUGUUGAAGUCAUUCCAGAAGUAUGCCAUUUAUUUCCAAAGGUUCGUUUUAUUGUUGGAGGCGAUGGUCCAAAACGUGUGCGACUUGAAGAGAUGAGGGAGAAGUUCUCCCUUCAGAAUAGAGUUGAGAUCCUUUGCUCUUGUAGUUCGCUUACAGAAGCAUUUUGCAUAGCCAUUCUGGAAGCAGCAAGCUGCGGGCUGUUGACAGUAAGCACUAGAGUCGGAGGGGUUCCAGAGGUUCUACCAGAUGACAUGAUAGUGCUUGCAGAACCAGAUCCAGAAGAUAUGGUACGAGCUGUCAGGCAAGCCAUCGACAUACUUUCUGGUAUAGAUCCCCAAAUUAUGCAUCGUCCGAUGAAAAAACUCUAUAGUUGGGAUGAUGUGGCCAAAAGAACAGAGAUUGUCUACGAUCGUGCAAUGCAGUCAUCAAACACUAAUUUGCUAGAUCGUCUUCCCCGAUACCUCACAUGUGGAGUUUGGGCAGGCAAACUGUUUUGCCUCGUUAUGAUCAUAAAUUACCUUGUGUGGUGCCUUCUAGAAUUCCUCUGGCCCGCUGAAGGUAUUGAAGAGGUCUCAGAUAUAGGGCCACUGCACAUUCAAUUGGAUUCAGCAGAUGACCAGUGUGAGAUGCAAGUAAAUUGA
RNAcentral lists this ribosomal RNA (1248 nucleotides) under Triticum aestivum (bread wheat). Its description in RNAcentral is "partial small subunit ribosomal RNA". Lineage: Eukaryota; Viridiplantae; Streptophyta; Magnoliopsida; Poales; Poaceae. The record is from RNAcentral.